GGUGAGAUGGCCGAGCGGUCUAAGGCGCCAGACUAAGGAGACCAGCGUAUUUGAUGCGCACGUAAAAUCUGGUCCGAAAGGGCGUGGGUUCGAAUCCCACUCUCAUCA
The sequence is a transfer RNA, 108 nucleotides long. It matches the Rfam family "tRNA". From Rfam's summary of the family: Transfer RNA (tRNA) molecules are approximately 80 nucleotides in length. Their secondary structure includes four short double-helical elements and three loops (D, anti-codon, and T loops). Further hydrogen bonds mediate the characteristic L-shaped molecular structure. tRNAs have two regions of fundamental functional importance: the anti-codon, which is responsible for specific mRNA codon recognition, and the 3' end, to which the tRNAs corresponding amino acid is attached (by aminoacyl-tRNA synthetases). tRNAs cope with the degeneracy of the genetic code in two manners: having more than one tRNA (with a specific anti-codon) for a particular amino acid; and 'wobble' base-pairing, i.e. permitting non-standard base-pairing at the 3rd anti-codon position. The record is from Rfam.